CCUUUCUGCCCUGCUGUGAUGAGUGUGGAGCUCCAGUAGGGGUCGCUGUGGGCGUCUCGGUCGCGAUCCGCCACACAUUGAGAGAAAUAGAAGAAGCCGUGCGGCAGUUUUGCUGAUUGAUGAGCUGAGCUCUCCGACUCUACUAAUCAUCUUUCCAUUAAACUCUUUCUGACAGGGUUUUACCCCCACAGUUCCAUCUGAUCCGUUGUGGGGGAUUUGAGGUGGUUAACUGCGUUCUGCUGGAAACAUCAAGACUGGGAUGGACGGGGCUUUCCUCAGGAUGUGUGUCGAUCCUUACAGAGCUGCUUGUUGGAUGUUGUCUAUUCUCUCUGAGUGUACUCCCAGCAAAACUAACCUUCCACUUCAGGUCAUCCAUUUAACAGUAGAUGGUUGACAUUUCGACCUUGCCGGAACUCAUAACCCUGGACUGCAUCCCUGAGGAUUAUUGACAGUGGAAUUGGAGAUGUAAUGAAGAGGAGUGGGGACAGGGAAUCAUCCUGAAAUGUACCUCUUUUCAUGUUAACAUCUCCCAAAUGUGCCCCUAAAUAUUAGUCUAGUGUUCCAAGAUCCCAUACUGUUGCUUAUCAGUCUCACUACAUUGUUGGCCAUCCCAGUUGUCUUCAUAGUCUCUAUGAUCCAUGAAUGUGGUACCAGGUCAUAUGCUUUCUCAUAAUCAAUCCAUCUGAUCACUAAAUUUGUCUUUCUUGUCUUAGUCUUUUAGGAUGGUCUUAUCCAGCAUAAGAUGGUCUUUGAUUCCCCUUGUACUCU
Neoarius graeffei (lesser salmon catfish) is the source of this 768-nucleotide long non-coding RNA. RefSeq lists it as uncharacterized. Lineage: Eukaryota; Metazoa; Chordata; Actinopteri; Siluriformes; Ariidae. The record is from RefSeq and is a predicted model, not a curated record. The transcript has 3 exons.